Long non-coding RNA from Xiphophorus couchianus (Monterrey platyfish), 1021 nucleotides. RefSeq lists it as uncharacterized. NCBI's taxonomy places the organism in Eukaryota, Metazoa, Chordata, Actinopteri, Cyprinodontiformes, Poeciliidae. The transcript has 5 exons. The record is from RefSeq and is a predicted model, not a curated record.
CUGUCAAAUACACUGGAAGCAAGACUAACCUCAUAACACUUGAAACAGCGUGGAAUCCAGCGUGGAGACGCCUAUCAGUUCACGUCUUCAGAGGCAGAUUCACGUCGUUCUUCCUCCUUCAGCUCCAGUCAAGGAGCUGCUGAAGCGACCAUGGAGUGGACUCAAUUCUACGUUUCAUGGUGGAAGCUCUCGGGACUUUUACUCGCUCCUGAGCAGCAAGAGCCGGCAAAGGUGUUGAUGAGGAGAUCUCAAGCAGGUGUGGAUGCUGCAGAGCUCAUCAAUCAUGCCCACUCAUUGGAAACCUGCAGCUCUAGAGGAAGAGCGCACAGGAAACCCAACACACUCACAAAACAACCAUGACAGCUGCAGACACAUUCUAACACACAGCUGAUGUGAGAUCAGGAUCUACUAGCAGGCUUUGUGUCUUUUUACUCAGUUAAGAUCAUGGAGCAUGUGGGUGGAUGAACAUCGGCUCCCCAUGAGAUUUCUUGUCUUGAGCAACUCAGUCAUUGAGGAGUUACAAUUUGCUGCUUGGUGGAGCCCCUGGGGAGUUGUUGUUGUUCACACACAUUCACCUGUUUCUCUCUCUCUCACACACCCACACACACCCACACACACUCAGGGAGGGACCUCACAAAUAUGUUAUGCCGAAUUUGUGGGAAGGUGGAUGUAAAUAUCCCAUCUCUAACCAACCAUAAGCAGUUGCUGCUAGUUUGGACAUUAUAGGAGAACGGACAGAGGAAACUUUCAGCAAAACAUAAACACUUUAUUUAAAACUUAAAGUUUUAAAUAAUUUUAAAUAAUUUUAUUUCAUGAAAAUCAAACGAUUUUUAUGGAAUACAUUUUUUUUAAAACUUUCAGUCAACCAUUUCAAUCUCAAACUAUACUUAUGGUAUUAUGUAUUUCCCAGGCACAUAGUCCUCUUUUAUAGCACAAUUAAGUAAUUGUGUUAUGCUGAGUUGUUAUGAAAAUGUUGUACAUAUCAAACAAGAAUUAAAUGAAACUUGACUUUGCAAUUUGA